GGUUUACGUACGGAUGACGUCACCGCGCCGCGCCUGCGCGCUGCCCCUUUCCGCCUUGGAGACGCCGCGCCGCCACCAUGCAGCUCUUCAUCCGCGGCCAGACCCUCCUCACCCUCGAGCUCUCCGGCUCCGAGACCCUCGCCCAGAUCAAGG
This is a long non-coding RNA of Parus major (Great Tit), 153 nucleotides long. RefSeq lists it as uncharacterized. The record is from RefSeq and is a predicted model, not a curated record. The transcript has 2 exons. NCBI's taxonomy places the organism in Eukaryota, Metazoa, Chordata, Aves, Passeriformes, Paridae.